GAAAAAUGCUACUUGUGCACGGAACUGGAGAUGCUACAGUGCAUUUCCAGCAUACAGCUGAACUGCUCAUCCGUCUCCUUGCCACAGGGUCUAACUACACCACCCAGAUCUAUCCGGAUGAAGGCCAUACAUUCUCCCAGAGUUCUAACCAGCACCAUCUCCACCAGACGCUUGUCUCCUUCUUUCAGCNUUGCUUUGAGGACUCUGAGUGGCUCCAUCUACCAGCUGAAGAAGACUCCUAGUGCU
RNAcentral lists this long non-coding RNA (246 nucleotides) under Salvator merianae (Argentine black and white tegu). RNAcentral describes it as "lncRNA (ENSSMRG00000012116.1)". Lineage: Eukaryota; Metazoa; Chordata; Lepidosauria; Squamata; Teiidae. The record is from RNAcentral.